UGAGGAAUAUUGGUCAAUGGGCGAGAGCCUGAACCAGCCACGUCGCGUGAAGGAAGACUGACCUUACGGUUUGUAAACUUCUUUUGUAGAGGGGUAAUGGCAGAUACGUGUAUUUGCGUGAAAGUACUCUACGAAUAAGCAUCGGCUAACUCCGUGCCAGCAGCCGCGGUAAUACGGGGGAUGCGAGCGUUAUCCGGAAUUAUUGGGUUUAAAGGGUGCGCAGGUGGCUAAUCAGGUCAGUGGUGAAAAGCUAUGGCUCAACCAUGGUCUUGCCAUUGAAACCGUAUAGCUAGAGAGGAGACGAGGUAGGCGGAAUGUGUGGUGUAGCGGUGAAAUGCAUAGAGAUUAGGAGGAACACCGGUGGCGAAAGCGGCUUUUUGGCCUGCAACUGACACUGAGGCGCGAAAGCGUGGGGAGCAAACAGG
This 425-nucleotide ribosomal RNA is filed under the name Verrucomicrobiota bacterium. RNAcentral describes it as "Verrucomicrobia bacterium partial 16S ribosomal RNA". It matches the Rfam family "Bacterial small subunit ribosomal RNA", at positions 355 to 776 of the family's 1533-position model. Lineage: Bacteria; Pseudomonadati; Verrucomicrobiota. The record is from RNAcentral.